This 362-nucleotide long non-coding RNA is filed under the name Sinocyclocheilus anshuiensis. RNAcentral's name for it is "lncRNA (ENSSANG00000031144.1)". Lineage: Eukaryota; Metazoa; Chordata; Actinopteri; Cypriniformes; Cyprinidae. The record is from RNAcentral.
UCCGGCCUCACUAUUAAGCUACAAAAAACCACAUACCAUAAUCAUAUUGCCAUCAUCAUUAAAAACAGUUGGGCAUUGACCUCAUUUCCUCUCUAAUGGUUUUCCAAUUGUUUUCUGACCAUCUCACUGAUUGUUUGAAUAGAUUAUCAGUCUGUUUUAGGCUCAGAGAGAAGAAAAGGCCAUUGGAGCAUCAAGUGCUUAACCGAGAGCUCCAUAGUGAUUGGUCACGUGAUGAUCAAGUGAUGAGCGAAGAUUUCAUAUCUCAUAUGGGGGUUAUGCAACAGCCAAGCAACUGCCAUUGAGUGGUGUUCAAGCAUGGACGAGAUAAUCAAGGAGGUGCUCUGACGUUGGCUAGCCACGGG